GACGUAGGUGGCGAGCGUUGUUCGGAAUCACUGGGCAUAAAGCGCACGUAGGCGGCCAUAUAAGUCGGGUGUGAAAGCCCUCGGCUCAACCGAGGAACUGCGCCCGAUACUGCAUGGCUUGAGGUCCGGAGGGGAGAGUGGAACUGCGAGCGUAGAGGUGAAAUCCGUAGAUAUUCGCAAGAACACCAGUGGCGAAGGCGGCUCACUGGCCCGGUACUGACGCUGAGGUGCGAAAGCGUGGGGAGCAAACAGG
This 253-nucleotide ribosomal RNA is filed under the name uncultured bacterium. RNAcentral describes it as "partial 16S ribosomal RNA". It matches the Rfam family "Bacterial small subunit ribosomal RNA", at positions 524 to 776 of the family's 1533-position model. The record is from RNAcentral.